AUAAGUUAUUAAUUGCUUUAUUAGCCGUGGGGCUUUUUGGGAAGUUUUGCUAUUGUGUGAGAUCGUGGAAUUCUGAGGAUCAGAGAAUUGUCUCGGAAGCAUACAAAAAUGCUACAAAAGCACAAGCUCUGGUUGAAGCGCACGAGAGACAAUUGUUUGAUCUUGGAAUUGUGUUGGAACCGGAAGAUAUUGGUCAAGCUAAUCUGGGGAACUUUCAUCAAUUUCUCGAUGAAUCAGUUAAGGAAGCAUUUCGUACUUCGAGGGUUCUUCGUAAGGCUAGCCAGUACCUCC
Long non-coding RNA from Lutzomyia longipalpis, 291 nucleotides. RefSeq lists it as uncharacterized. The transcript has 3 exons. Lineage: Eukaryota; Metazoa; Arthropoda; Insecta; Diptera; Psychodidae. The record is from RefSeq and is a predicted model, not a curated record.